Molecule: long non-coding RNA, 573 nt
Organism: Triticum aestivum (bread wheat)
Lineage: Eukaryota; Viridiplantae; Streptophyta; Magnoliopsida; Poales; Poaceae
Exons: 3
Source: RefSeq, a predicted model, not a curated record
CCCUGUCCCACCCCACGUCGCAGAUCCGAUCACUACGGCGGCGACCCGCGGACAAAGACGGAGACCUCACCGUGCGCCCUAAACACCGACGACAUAGGAUACUGAUCGAUUGCAGUUGGGUUCAUCUCGAUCUCCUGACGCGGCCGCCGUGUACUUCUUGGUGCGAGCAAUGCAAUCUACCAAUAGCUUGCAAAUGCAGUUGGAGGAGGAAAGAUUUACCACACCUGUAAAGAAAGCAAGUGUUCCUCUCCCCUGUUCGUCUUUUACACCGGAAUGUGAAGAGAAUUUGAAGCCUAAUUUAGGCAUGACAUUUGAAGGAUUAGAGGCUGUUGAGAAGUUCUAUAAGUUUUAUGGACAUGAAGUUGUGUGGUAAUGAUACCUACAAGAUAGAAUCAUGGGUUGAGCACUACAAUCAUGGUCACUUGAUCAGAUCAAAUCGUCAAGUUAUUGAGAGUGCAAAGAAUGCAUUAUACACAUGUAACAAAGCAAGCAUAGACACCUGUCAGACAUACAGGCUUCUCCAAGUCAGCGAGGGUUCCUGCAGUGAAGCACACUAGGCAAGAGGAAUAUGAG